Long non-coding RNA from Thunnus maccoyii (southern bluefin tuna), 1077 nucleotides. RefSeq lists it as uncharacterized. The record is from RefSeq and is a predicted model, not a curated record. The transcript has 4 exons. Lineage: Eukaryota; Metazoa; Chordata; Actinopteri; Scombriformes; Scombridae.
ACACGCAGAAAAAAAAAAUCAAUCUGGAAAAUUCACUGCGACCUAAAGUUGAGGACAUUAUGUCUCCAGAGUCGGCUUUACCUCUAACACAGAUCACGGUAUAGCAGCAUGUGUGACAGUGAGAGAGGAGGUCUGUUUUUGUCUUUGGUUAUCUAGCUGUAUGAGUGUUAAAUGCCUGUCAUAAAGCUAGAUAACCGAAAGUAGAAAUGACUUCCGUAACGAUCAUUCCUGAGAGAAAAAGAGACCUGACGCUUUCUGAUCGGAUUUUGACUUCCAGUUCAAAAAAAGGUUUUCAAUUAACAACAUCGAAUGAUCUUGAGAAUCCUGAAAAGAGGGUAAAUCAUCAUUAAAAGAAAACGAGCAGAGAGGGAGGAGGGGGGAGGGGGGUGUACGGUCGAUCCGGAAUUGCCACCUCCUCCUCCUCCUCUCUGCACCCUCACUCUUUUUACUCAAGAGCCUCUAAUGCCAUCUGUACUGCCAACGGGAGACACUUUGCCCGUGCCAGGAGGCGGACAAAGACCCUUCCGGAUCCCUGGAGUCUGGGUGCGCUCAGAGGAGCCAUCUUGGGAGACGUUGCCGCGACAUCUAAAAUGGCUGGGCUGGCAUACGAGGACGGGACGGGAUCUGCAAGCCUCUCUGCACUCAACAGGAACCUGCUCUGGCUCAGACCAAACUCACCGAAAGCUCGUCAGACUGUUGAGACUCACAAAAUCAGAACACUGCAAUAAGAGUUUAAUGUUAGUAAGUCCUGCAGAAACAAAAUAUGUAUUCUGUUAGUCUGAUGUGUGUUAAUCACAAUAUGUUUGUUGCAAAGUUUAUUUUAAGUUUCUGUAUUAAUGAUGAAUGAAUGUGUGUGAUUAGAAAUGUUUACCUGUUAUUAUUAUUUUUUAAAUGAAAUAAAAAAAAGACUUGUUUCUCCUACGUAUCACUCAAUACUGUGUGUUUUCAUUGCAAAUGCAUGAUCUCAUUGUUUUAUUAAUGUAUUCAUUAAUUAUUUUUUCCAUGGAAUAUCUAAUGUGAAUUAAUGGGAUAUAAAUGCAUUGCUGAUAAAGUUGAUUUUUAAAAGGUUUACUGUUG